RNAcentral lists this ribosomal RNA (650 nucleotides) under uncultured bacterium. RNAcentral's name for it is "bacterial SSU rRNA". It matches the Rfam family "Bacterial small subunit ribosomal RNA", at positions 43 to 741 of the family's 1533-position model. The record is from RNAcentral.
GAGGCCUAACACAUGCAAGUCGAGCGCACCUUCGGGUGAGCGGCGGACGGGUUAGUAACGCGUGGGAAUAUGCCCAGAUCUGCGGAAUAGCCUCUGGAAACGGAGAGUAAUACCGCAUACGCCCUUCGGGGGAAAGAUUUAUCGGAUUUGGAUUAGCCCGCGUUGGAUUAGGUAGUUGGUGGGGUAAUGGCCUACCAAGCCGACGAUCCAUAGCUGGUUUGAGAGGAUGAUCAGCAACACUGGGACUGAGACACGGCCCAGACUCCUACGGGAGGCAGCAGUGGGGAAUCUUAGACAAUGGGGGAAACCCUGAUCUAGCCAUGCCGCGUGAGUGACGAAGGCCCUAGGGUCGUAAAGCUCUUUCGCCAGGGAAGAUAAUGACGGUACCUGGUAAAGAAACCCCGGCUAACUCCGUGCCAGCAGCCGCGGUAAUACGGAGGGGGUUAGCGUUGUUCGGAAUUACUGGGCGUAAAGCGCGCGUAGGCGGACUAUUAAGUUAGAGGUGAAAUCCCAGGGCUCAACCCUGGAACUGCCUUUAAUACUGGUAGUCUUGAGUUCGAGAGAGGUGAGUGGAAUUCCGAGUGUAGAGGUGAAAUUCGUAGAUAUUCGGAGGAACACCAGUGGCGAAGGCGGCUCACUGGCUCGAUACU